CUAGGGUGGCAGCAGUGGGGAAUAUUGGACAAUGGGCGAAAGCCUGAUCCAGCCAUGCCGCGUGUGUGAAGAAGGCCUUCGGGUUGUAAAGCACUUUCAGUGGGGAAGAAAGCCUUGGGGCUAAUACCCUCGAGGAAGGACAUCACCCACAGAAGAAGCACCGGCUAACUCCGUGCCAGCAGCCGCGGUAAUACGGAGGGUGCGAGCGUUAAUCGGAAUUACUGGGCGUAAAGCGCGCGUAGGCGGUCUGAUAAGCCGGUUGUGAAAGCCCCGGGCUCAACCUGGGAACGGCAUCCGGAACUGUCAGGCUAGAGUGCAGGAGAGGAAGGUAGAAUUCCCGGUGUAGCGGUGAAAUGCGUAGAGAUCGGGAGGAAUACCAGUGGCGAAGGCGGCCUUCUGGACUGACACUGACGCUGAGGUGCGAAAGCGUGGGUAGCAAACAGGAUUAGAUACCCGAGUAGUC
This 463-nucleotide ribosomal RNA is filed under the name Vreelandella stevensii. RNAcentral describes it as "partial 16S ribosomal RNA". It matches the Rfam family "Bacterial small subunit ribosomal RNA", at positions 339 to 795 of the family's 1533-position model. Lineage: Bacteria; Pseudomonadati; Pseudomonadota; Gammaproteobacteria; Oceanospirillales; Halomonadaceae. The record is from RNAcentral.